Molecule: long non-coding RNA, 4138 nt
Filed under: Homo sapiens (human)
Lineage: Eukaryota; Metazoa; Chordata; Mammalia; Primates; Hominidae
Description: HSALNT0212998
Source: RNAcentral
GGACAAAAUGCUUAUUAGAACAGAACUGAUGCAUUAAAAUAGGGUGGUUUAGAAAGAAGAUUCCAGGAAAAAGUGUAAGACCUUCCUUCCUAUUGUCAAGUCCCCUCUGUGCUGGCUCUAUGCCACUCAGUGUCUGCACCUGAGACGCCCUCGCAUUGGGGGUUUGGGGUAGCCUGGGGCGGAGGCAGACCUGGACUGGAAGGCUGCUCUGCUUCUCACUGUGUGUGUACUUGGGCAGGUCGGGUCACCUCCUUAAGCCACAACUUGCUCACUUGAGACUCAUACAGCAGGUGGUAGAGUAGGGAAGUAACUGGUUUCCAUAAAAUUCCUACUAGAUGCAGAAUAAAAGUUAGUUCUGAUCUGGGCGCAGUGGCUCAUGCCUGGAGUCCCAAUACUUUGAGAGGCUGAGGAGGGAGGAUUGCUUAAGUCUAGGAGUUCAAAACUAGCCAGGGCAACACAGUGAGACCCUCCAUCUCUACAAUUUUUUUUUUAAUUAGCCAGGUAUGGUGGCAGUUGCCUGCAGUCCAAGAUAGGGGUCCUCAAUCCCCAGGCCACGGACCGGUACCUGUCCAUGGCCUGUUAGGAACGGGCACACAGCAGGAGGUGAGCAAGCAUUACUGCCUGAGCCCCGCCACCUGUCAGGUCAGUGGCAGCAUUAGAUUCCCACGGGAGCAUGAACCCUGUUGUGAACUACUCAUGCAAGGGACCUAGGGUGUGCAUUCCUUAGGAGACUCUGAUGCCUGAUGAUCUGAACAGGAUCAGGCUUUAGACUGGAACAGUUUCUUCCCGAAACCAUCCCACCCCGCUCCCAGACCUGAAAAAAUUCUCUUCCAUAAAACUGGUCCCUGGUGCCAAAAAGGUCGGGUACCACUGGCCAAGCUACUUGGAAGGCUGAGGCAGGAGGAUCAAUUGAGCCUGGGAUGUCGAGGCUGCAGCGAGCUAUGAUUGCACCACUGCACUCCAGCCCGGGCAGCAGAGCAAGACCCUGUCUCUAAAAAAAUUUUUGUUAAAUUUCUGUCCUGUGCUCCCGCCAUGUGUAUCCUCAAUUCUCUACAUUUUCAUAUCUCCACAGAUUGCAGAUCUAAGGAUGAGGCUAAGAAAGAAGUGGCCAGAUCUCUUUGUGUGGUUGGGUUGGGAUGGAAGGCUGGAGAGAAGAGAGAGGGCAAAAUGCCAAGAGCCUCGGGGCUCCCAGGAUUCACCUCCUCCAGGAAGCCUUCCUGUACAUCUGGCUCUGCACUCCCAUCGGUGCCGGGCUUUGCCCUAGCACUUUCAAACUACUGCAGUGAUGUAGUUGUUUCUCUUUCUCUCUCAUAAUUGUGAACAUUGCAAGGGCAGAGAUCCAUUUUCAUGUUAUACCCUGGACCAGAGGUUCAUGGUGGCCCUGAAGGUUUGCCUCAAGAGAGGGGCUUUGAGAAGUGUAACUGGUGACCAGCUUCCAGUGGCUGCACUCAGCCCCACACCAGGUUCUGAAGACUCCCCCUGCACCUCCUCCUCCCCGCAAUUCAUCUUCACAGGCGCUCCCCUGUAGAUCUCUCGCACAUCUAGUCCCGUCUCAGCCUCUGCUCUCAGAGGGCCUGAACCAACCCUUGCGGUUCUUGGUUGCACAUCACAGAAAAGGACUGAGUCAGCUUAAACAGGAGAGUUGCUUAGAAGAGAGGCAAUGGGAGAUCGCAGAUUGACAGGAGGGCUGAAAAUCAGGCACAUGCUUGGGCUGGACCCCCGACAAUGUCCUAGUUGUAGUCCAGGAGCAGUUCCAGUUAGGAUCUAUGCUGCUCUUCCGCUGGACGCUGAACUCGUGUCACCACCAAUUUUAGGCAAUGCUGACACAUGCCUAGAAAAACCCUGAAGCGUCCUUGUAGACUCACUCCCCACAGGAACAUGCCUGUACCCUGAUGGCCAGGACCUGAGAAACAAGAAUUGGCAGGGUCCCCAGGUGGAAGUUCAGAUGGCAGCUGCCCCAGAAAACACAUGUCCACCAGGACAGGGUAUUUGUUGAACUCCCAUUGAACUGAAUUUAGAGGAUGCUGCUUCCCUCUUCCUUCAUUUGGAGGUUGUUCAUCCAAAUAUCUGAGUGCCUACGCUGCGCUAGAAGCUGGGAGAGACCGGCCCAGUGGUGAUAACUGUUUAAGCUUCAGCUUGCUGCAGGAGGCAGCACUGCUGUGCAGGUGGAUUCUUUCCCAUGGCGUUUGGUGUAGAUGCUCCCACCAUGGCUGUUUUCAAGCUACCAAGGUGACGUCACCAGACGUGGAGUUGGGAAGAGAUGCAGUCAGCUCUCCCAGGCGUGGGCUCCAGCUCACUAGGUCUGCUCGGGGAGUUUACACUCUAGUGGGGACUUGCAUUCUAGUGCUGUGUGUGUCAGUUUAGACUAAGCUGAGUUUUACAAUCAGAGUAUUCAAACAUUUUUACGAUAAAAGUCAUAGAACCGAUGCCACAGCCCACUAGGAAUCCAAAAGGAAAAAAGAUACUCCACAUCAGAGGCUGCUGCAUUUAUUUCUCUAACGUCUCCCCACCCCCCAAUACAUAUAUUCAUUUCCCUUAAUACAGUCAUUCAAACGCUGGGAACGGCGGGAAGGCGAGGGUCAAAACUCCACUCCGUGCUGUGCUUCCAGACGCCACCUCAACCUUCCUUCCCCCAUUGCGUUGCCAUAUCCAAGUCAGCUCUUUGAAGCACCAUGCCAGACCACUGGAGUGGGAAUUCAGGGCUCAGUGUGUCUGACAAGUGGCUGUCAGGAGAUAAGCCACCUGGCCUUUGGAGGGGAGUUUUACCCUUAAAGCUGAGACAGAAAUAUAUAAUAGCUCCUCCCACCCUUCCUGCAGACAAGAAGGCCAUCCAGAGGGAAAGAACAGGAAUUCCUGGGAUGUCCCCUCAGUGACACCAGGCCCACGCUGACUCGGAUCCCGGAAAGGGCACCGGGAUGCGGGAGAGGCUGUGUGGAGGCAGGACAAUGCCUGGGGAAGGAGAGCAGAGACAGUGGGAAAGGAAGGGGCUUUCCAAUGCUGUUUCUGACUAGCUCCCAGCCAGCAGCUCCAGCCGGCAGAGAUCUCAUCCCCUCUGCCCACAGGGGAACACAAACUCCUACCACAGCGACCCCAACCACGGCCUCCUUUGGAGAAGCUGGUUGAGACAUUAAGGGAGCUGCUGUGAGGAACCCACCCUCACUUCCCAAAGGGGAGAGCAGCUCCUGGCCCAGACCCCACAAAGGUCGGUGUAAGGUGUGGAACCAGCUCAAGAGCACAGGCCCGGAGCAUGUCUCUGGGCCUUGAAGCUCCAGGUGGGCACCCCAGACUCCCAGGCAAGCCUGGUGUCCUGUGGCCGCCUGGUGGCCCCUCGGAUGGUUGCAGAAGGCAGCAAGUCCCUGUUCUCUUGUGAUGAAUCCAGUGAGCCAGGCUCUGAGGUCCCUGGUGCUGUCCCUGGGGGGCUGUCACGGACAGGGGCCCUGGAUUGGUAGCCCCAGAGGCCAGCAGUCAAGGCUGUUUAGAUCCUUUUGUCUUGGUCUCACCCUCCACCAUGCUCCUGGGACACUUCUCAUCUACCCUGUGGCUUCAGCCUCUGUACCUGAAUGGUUCUCAGCCCAGACAUUGAGAGACAGCCUGUGUCUCGGGCCAAAGACCUGGAAACACAACCCAGAAGUCAGUGGGCCAGUGCCUCGCAAUCCUAAAACAAGACUUCCCCGAAGCUGAAGGGAGAGGAAAUAAUUUUUCUUUUCUUUUCUUUUCUUUUUUUUUGCUGCAGUGCUUCUCUAGCUCUCAUUUCUGUGGGGACCUGUUAUCCUGGACCCCUACUUUAUAGUAUAAUGCCACGGAAAGAUGUACAGACACAAAACGGGGUCUAAGCUCUUUAUUUUUACAGCUUUCAUAUCACUGUUAAUUCUAUAUAUCUAGGUCCCAAUCCCUUAUCAGAAACUCUUGAGGCCAAACGUGUUUCAGAAUUGAGAAUUUUCCAGGCUUUAGAAGUGACUAAACUGCAUAUUAUAUAAUACUCCCAGCAGGCUGGAAGCCCUCUUUUCACCAUCUCGGCUCACUGCAACCUCCGCGUCCUAGGUUCAAGCGAUUCUCUUGCCUCAGCCUCCCCAGUAGCUGGGAUUACAAGCACACACCACCACACUCAGCUAAUUUUUGUAUUUUUAGUAGAGAUGGG